CAGCGUGCAUGCACAUGUGCGCGCAUACAUGCAUAUAUGAGAGCGUGCAUGCAUUCAUGUGUAUUUGUGUGUACAUCUGCGUUGACCAUUAUUUAGUUGCGUUGCUGCCAUGCCUGAUAGACUGGUGGCGUGGUUACUCCAAUGACAGGGAUUGAUGUAUGGUGUGACACAGAGGGAGAUUUUAGGGGGGCGCGAUCGGGGGGAGUGUUAAGAGAUUAAUAGGUGAAUAACGUGCAUCCGCUAUGUGAGGAAGGCGUAAUUCAGGUACAUAGCCUGUAGAUGGCGCCAUCAUCUUAGUGUAGUGCAGAAACAUGCAGUCAGCAUACACAGCAGCGCCACCUGUUGGAUUGUUUUUGCGUCGCGCCUCGUGCAUUUGCAGCAAGCCUCGGACUCAUGCUGCUGCGCCACCCAGUAAUGUGAUCAUGAGCUACCCUGCAGCGGUGGAGGCUGACAGAGCGUGCGUGAAGCUUGUGCUCAUGAGGCGACACAGCCUAGGGUAACUCUUCACUUCCACAGAUACUCAAGGUCGCGCUGUGAUUGCUGAGUCGCCACCAGCAAAUUGGCAGGGGGCGCCACCAUUGUGGCAUCGAUCGCACAUUUGUCCCGCACCAUCGUCGCGCGGCAGUGUGAUCAUGAACGGCAGUGUGAAUGUGUUCGCGUGCGUGCGUGCGUGCGUGUGUGCGCGCGUUCGUGUUUGUAGCUAUGCCGACAGCACGCGUGUAGUUACAAGUGUGAACUAUACAUAGUCGAGCCUCCGCUCACAUGAUGCUGUGAGCGACGCUAGGUGGCGCCGCUGCUCACAGGAGGCAGUGAGCGAUGCUAGGUGGCGCCGUUCUGUGAGCGGCGCUAGGUGGCACUACCGCUCACCGGAUGUCGUGAUUGGCGAUAGGUGGCAGGGCCACUCACAAGACGCCAUGAGCGAUGCUAGGUGGCGCCGCUGCUCACAGGACACUGAGCGAUGCUAGGUGGCGCCGCUGCUCACAGGACACUGAGCGACGCUAGAUGGCGCCGCUGCUCACAUGACACCAUGAGCGACGCUAGGUGGCGCCGCUGCUCAUAGGAUGACAUGAGCGACGCUAGGUGUGGCCGCUGCUUACAGGACACAGUGAGCGAUGCUAGGUGGCGCCGCCGCUCACAGAACAUUGAGCGAUGCUAGGUGCCGUCGCUGCUCACGGGAUACCAUGAACGACGCUAGGUGACGCCGCUGCUCACAGGACAGUGAGCGACGCUAGGUGGCGCCGCUGCUCACAGGACACAAUGAGCGAUGCUAGGUGGCGCCGCUGCUCACAUGACACCGUGAAUGAUGCUAGGUGGCGCCACCACUCACAGGAUGCACUGAGCGACUCUAGGUGGAGCCACGUUAUUGAACCGCCUUCGAUCGUUCGCUCGCUGUAGAUUGCGGGCUCAGCGUGCCAGUAGGGGUAUGCCGCUAGCUCAUUGCGCGUUUUCUUGUUUUAGGUUGUUGGCACGGGGUCGACAGUGUCGCUCUCACGCUCUAGCUAGAUGCUGCUCGUGUCCUCACAAUUUCACGUAUACAAUUUACAGGCGUGUGCGCGUGCGUGCGUGCGUGAGAGAGAAGCGGGUCAAGCUCGCCCGCUACAGGGGGGGGGGCAACGUUUACGUGUGUACGCGCGCGCGUGGGCUCUAGCGUUGUGGUUUAUGCGCACGUUUUAGAUAUGUCGAGUCGAGUUCUCUGCAAACUAGUUGUAUUGGUGUGCGUGCGUGCGUGCGUGCGUGCGUGCGUGCGUGAAGGGUGUGUGUUUGUCUAGCGUGUCAUUCUCAUCUCGCCCCCCCCCCACACACCCGCACCGCGCCGCCUCAACUUACGGUCGUCUGAUCGCUGAUUAAUGACGUCACACUGCAAACAAUCAAAACACAAAACCGCCCUCUGUCGGCGAACAAUGAGUUUGUGUUUACUGACAGGACGUGGCAAGUGCGCAUGUGCGAGUUUGGGGUCAUGUGAGUCACGGGGCAUGCGUAUUUUGAACCGUGGGGGGAGGGUCGCAACGCUUGCGUAUUUUGAAUCGUGGGGGAGGGAGGGAGGGUCGCAGCACUUGCGUAUUUUGAACCGUGGGGGGAGGGUUGCAGCGCUUGCGUAUUUUGAACCGUUGGGGUAGGGGAUUGCAACAACAGAUCGAGUGUGUUUAACGUCUGUACAUAAUAUGCUUGUUGAACAAGCAGGUUUUGUUAUGAAUGUAAUAUAACACGACGUGUCAACGCGAGGGCGGUGCGACCAGUAUUUUUAAUGUUAUGCGAUGCGGAUAUGCAUACAUACAUAGAAACGUAGUACGACGCGUACAGGUUUUUAACUUGGUCGAUUUUAUGUCACACACACACACACACACACACACACACACACACACACACACCAGUAAAUGAUGUUGUGAUUAUAAUAUGUACAGUCAUUACAAGAAAGUA
This 2418-nucleotide long non-coding RNA is filed under the name Priapulus caudatus. Its description in RNAcentral is "uncharacterized LOC106810534". The record is from RNAcentral. Lineage: Eukaryota; Metazoa; Priapulida; Priapulimorpha; Priapulimorphida; Priapulidae.